Molecule: ribosomal RNA, 605 nt
Filed under: Kryptoperidinium foliaceum
Lineage: Eukaryota; Dinophyceae; Peridiniales; Kryptoperidiniaceae
Description: partial Bacterial small subunit ribosomal RNA
Rfam family: Bacterial small subunit ribosomal RNA
Source: RNAcentral
CUGGCGGCAGGCUUAACACAUGCAAGUCGCGGGAGAAGGUUCCUUCGGGAACUGGGCACCGGCGCACGGGUGAGUAACGCGUGGGAACGUACCCUUCGGCGGGGGACAACAGCUGGAAACGGCUGCUAAUACCGCAUACGCUCUAUGGAGGAAAGGCUUCGGCCACCGAGGGAUCGGCCCGCGUUAGAUUAGGUAGUUGGUGAGGUAAUGGCUCACCAAGCCUACGAUCUCUAGCUGGUCUGAGAGGAUGAUCAGCCACACCGGAACUGAGACACGGUCCGGACUCCUACGGGAGGCAGCAGUGGGGAAUAUUGGACAAUGGGCGCAAGCCUGAUCCAGCCAUGCCGCGUGUGUGAUGAAGGCCCUAGGGUUGUAAAGCACUUUCACCGGUGAAGAUAAUGACGGUAACCGUAGAAGAAGCCCCGGCUAACUUCGUGCCAGCAGCCGCGGUAAUACGAAGGGGGCUAGCGUUGUUCGGAAUUACUGGGCGUAAAGCGCACGUAGGCGGAUCGUUAAGUGAGGGGUGAAAUCCCAGGGCUCAACCCUGGAACUGCCUUUCAUACUGGCGAUCUUGAGUUCGAGAGAGGUGAGUGGAAUUCCGAGUG